CUUAAAUAUAUAUUAUAACUUCUCAAAUGGGAAAAUAAGUCCCAAACUUAAUAGUCUGUCAUCAAGAAACACAAAAUCAUUUGCCUUGUUAAUAAAUUAACAGUCUGAAUGCAUCUUUCCAUCCUGCUUCCUGACCCUGCUGGACACACUAAUAAAUACCCUGAGAAAAAUCUUCUCUUUAAGCUUGGCCAAGGUACUCCAUCUCCUGUGGGGUUUUCAGCUGGCACUCAGCACAUUUGUAGAAUGACCCAGGAGGGCUCCAUGGCAACUGUGCCCCGAGACUCCAGGCCCAGCCGGGUCCCGAUGGCGAGAGCGUUGUGGCUCAGUGAAGCACUGGCACAGAAAGGCUGGACUCGAGGAAUCGAGGGGUGAAGAUGGAGUCGGCUGACAUUUUUUGCCUUAAAAAUACAUUAGGAGUCAUAAGCGUGAUGACACAUGGAGUGUAGCUUCUUGCACCACUGGAUCAACAGUAAUCAAUUUCAUGACUCAGAUAAGGUCCCCAGGAGCCUGGCAGAAUGUACAUCUCCCUCUCCCUUCAGAGCCUUACAUAUAAUCUUCUCAUGACGAUGGCAAACAGAUAUAUUUUAAAUUACACGUAACAAUUAUACAUAGUGUAUAUCCAGAUCCGUCUGCAGGCGAACUCCGCAUCAGUUCCACAUAUAAGCCUCACGUCCCCACCACCCUGCAAUUUCCCCGUCCUCGGAACUGUCUCACGAGACCACCAGCGCACAGACACGAACAUGCCUCUCACACACCCCAGAACGCAGCUGUGCUGGAGUUGGGCACAAAGGCCCCUCACUCCCUGUCUUCAUGGGGUGGGUUCUUGGCUGCCAACAGAACUGUCAGCCUUUAUUAAGAAGGAAGGGUCUGUGUAAAAAUGGGAUGUGUGAAUCAGAAGAGGGGCCCUGGCACAGAGCCAGGCAGGCUUGCUUUAACAUUGAGUCCUGCGUCGCGCAAUGCCCAGGACCUUGCCUGUAAGUCUGGGUGGGGCCCCUAUGGGGCAUGUCCACGUGCCCCCCACCAGACUCAUUGCCCUGUCUCCAGUCUCCACUGUGGGUUGGGCUGGAGGCCACACCACGUGGGACUGCAAACACCAGCCAGUUCACAAUGCCUGCUCCGUGGCAGGGGCACGGCAGGGAGGAGCUGGUAUCAUCAGCGUUUCCACCCAUCUGAACAAAGGUGAGCGGGCCAUGCACCCUUCCAGCUGUGCACAGGGAUGUGCUGAAGGUGCAGGAGGCAGUGCGUCAGGGCCUUGGUGGCUGGGGUAGGUGGAGAAGCCUGCUGCCCCCACCAUCCUGCGGUCACCCCUGGACUCGUAUUGGAUCCUGGCCACUGUGCUAGAGUCAGCACAAGGGACCAGGUGGCUGGCUGCCUGAGAGAGAAAAUAAGUCGCAGUGGAAAGAGUUUUUGCUGCUGCAAAAACCAAAAGUGGGGGGAGAUCUCAGCAAUUCUGACAACAGUAUACAUUUAGCGACUUUUCUGAGACAGCCUGGGGAAAAUGCAUCUAUCACUGUCCUCUUGAUUUGGAAAAAUAAAUCCGAUGCACAAAGCCUUGGCCAAGGGGGUGUGAGCAGGGAUGAUAAGUAGAGUGGGGGGUGUGUAGAGGCCUGGUCCUGAGGCAGGGGGGUGGAGAUCUGCUGGGUUUGCUGCUUCAUGAAUUUGGGCCUUCGGAGGUCAUGAACACAUGCAGGGCAGUCACAGGGUUUGUGGGAGACAGGAAGGGAUGUUUACCCAUCACAAAUGGGUCUUUCCAAUGCGGGUAUUUAUUUGUGGCUGGUGCACAGAUAAAAGUAGACACAAUACUCCUUGGUGGGUGUGCCUCUAGUAAUGUGUAAGUUCUGACUAUGUAGGAAAAUCCUGGCCAGCGGAACUAAGAAUAUUCUUGUUUGGGCAAGGGAACUAAGAGAUGUGAAACUAUCAUUUUUUUUCGCUUGUGUGUAUUUUUAUUUCAGGGAAAGAAAUGAGGGAUAUGAUAAGAAAAAGUCUAUUAAAAUUGUAAGGCUUACUCCAGACACCAUUGCUUAAAUCACUCCCCUUGCACACAGAGAGAAAACCCCUGGCAAGUGCACAAAAACACUACUCAUAAAAGCACGGUGACCAGUGAACUAUUAUGCAAGGCACCCCCACGUGUCCUUUCCUAACUAGGAAGCCCGUCCUUUAAGGAGGGGGCAUGAGUCCCAUCCCUGCCCAGCCUAGGCGUGCUUCUGUGUCCAGCUUUAAGGCCUCUGCGUGAGGAAGGCCACACACUCCCAGCUGUCAGCACGCUGUCAUGAUGAGACUUGGAGCAGGGGAGACGCACCUUCUCAAUCUACAAAAUGAGCCAUGGCGCCCAUUAAAAUGUCAAAUGUCAACUCUAAAUAGUCUAUUGGGUGCUGUCUUGCACGGAAAUUUCAGCCAGAAAGAAAAACUAGAGAAAAGAAAAAAAAGAAAAAAGCAAUUCUCUCCCACCACUUCACUUUUCUUGGAGACUGUCUAUCCCUCGAAUUCUCUUUGCCUAUGUAGAAAAUAACGGAAAAAAAAAUCAAGCAAAUAACUACCAGGUCCUAAGACAAGAGACAACCAAAACCCCAACAAAAUAAGUUAGUAUUUAUCAAAAUAUGUUACAACACCAAUCUCCAUAAAUGUCAAUAUCACUCUUUGGAAAUCGGAGCUCUGGGCUCUUAUGAUGCUCCCUCUGGAACAUUCAAAAUGAGAUCAGAAUAAAGCUCCCAGCAAGGUGAGCAGGCCUGAUACGGAGGCCCAGCCCACGGCCAUCCACCCGCCCUCCACCGCCGUGUUCACAAAUUCUUGCACUUCUUUCCAAGAACCUUCUGGGGGCACAGGGAGGGUACAAGUGCCCUCAAUUUAUCAGGCUUCUUUCUACCAGAUUUGUGUCAAAGGCCAGACUAGGAAGAAAUGGAAAGGAAACUAAGUUUUGAAAGCAGCAUUUCCAUUUCUCCUGGUGUCCAAAAUGCCCACGUCCCUCCUCCUCCCCCAUCAGCAUGGGCCUUCUGUCUCCUGAAGUAGACUCAGUGGAACGCUCCACCCACGUUCAGGUUUCCUCUGGCUCCCAUCUACAAGGAGUGUGUGUGAAAUGGUGCUGGCCGCAGGCCCCGACCCAGGCAAGACAGGUGGGGGUGGCGUGCACUGGAGCUAUGGGGGUGGGGAGGAUGCUCGGGUCUCUCCCACUUGCAGAGGCGUGGGGUCCGAAGCAUCCGGAUGACAGAUACACAAAAGGGACAGCAAUAUGCCUAGAAAUCACCUCCCCUGCGACCCACGCAUCUCAGCUAUAGGACAGCCGCAGGGGUGAUGACAUGGCCAUUUCCAAGUUAAUGUUAUGCCCUAACUUAAUCUGGUGGAGUGUCACAAUUUCAUGGACUGUGGAUUGAUUUCAAUUUCAUCAUGUCACAGAGAGGCCAGACAGCUUAUGUCAGGGCCAGAAACGCAUGACCCCGACAUGUUCUGACCCCAGACUGAGCUGCCACCAGCCUUGAGAACCUUACAGGAGCCACCAGACUGGCUCCAAAGCAUGGGAGGGCAAGACUGAGUGAACGGUGGCGACUCACAGGAAACAGACUUCUGACUUGGCUACCAUGGGGCCAGUCCUGCAGAUACAGUCUCAUGUUCCAGUUACUCAGGACACAGCCAGUCGGGGGAGACGGCAGGAGCAGCAAGAACUGGCCCAGGCCUGGAGGCCGUGAGCUGAAGGUCCCUGGUUUACAUACAUGUGCACACACAUGCAUAAGCAAAGCAGGCCCUAAUGGGAGUGAUCCCUUCUUCCUCAUUUGAGUGGAGCCAGCUGCCCUCAGCCCUGGGCAGCUGUCAUGGUGUCAGAGCAAAGCCCUGAGAAGCCAAGGGGCAGGCAGGGUCCGGCCCUAAUGACCCAUCUGAAUGCAACCGGAGAAGGACAACAGGCCUGAUUUUCCUUUUUAAGUGCACUACUGUCGUUUGGCUCUGGGGUGGGGAGCUGCUGGGGACACACUGUUUUGUGGUACUCAUCUGGCUUGAUUGCUGGGUGUCUGGGGCUGAGCGGGAAGAUGGCUGCGAAAGUUUGGAGUAUGCACAAUUUCAAUCCCAGAACAGUCCCCAGGAGGAAGGCCUGGUUCCCAAGAUAAGGAGAGAAGGUGACCUCCGUUCUGCCUGAGGCUGUGGCAGCUCGGGGCUGAGCUGGUAGGGGAGGAACUGCUUUGUUCAGAGAAGUGAGGAGACACAGUGGCCAGCCGCAGCCUUAGUGGCCCCGGCCAGGCAGCUGUCUGGAGGUGACCAGGGCCCGGAGAACCGGCUGCAGAGCCGAGGGUGGGCUGGGGCUGCAGGUCAAGUAAUUGCACCUUUGGCUGCAGUGAGGGUGUGGAUGCAGGUGGUUUCUGUUGCACUGGUGGGGAGGGUGGGGUGCCUCCCGGUCCUCUGGGGGCGUCCCUCGGGGCUGCUGCCACCUCCGGGGGGCGGGGCUGUGCGUCACUUGCACUGGUCCAAGUUGCCGUCAGGAGUCCUUGCUUGGUCGGCAUCCAGGGACGCCUCCUCGCUGUGCCACAGGCCAUAGCCAAAGUAGAUGAUGAAGCCUGUGG
This 4544-nucleotide long non-coding RNA is filed under the name Pan troglodytes (chimpanzee). Its description in RNAcentral is "long non-coding RNA NONPTRT004245". Lineage: Eukaryota; Metazoa; Chordata; Mammalia; Primates; Hominidae. The record is from RNAcentral.